UCAGGACAGCGUAGGGACGGCGCAGCCGGCGAGCCCCUGCCUGUGACAGCAACCUUUGCUAAAUCACAUACCAACGCUUCCCAUCCGUGCUCCUCACUUCUCCGUGGCCGGGAUGAAAUGCCAAGGUGAAAAGCAGGGUUUAAGAGGCUGACACAGGAUCGAUCCCAUGACACCCCCCCCACCCAUCAGGAGGGCACGCACUGGAAAACGCUCACACAUUUGGAGACUCUGGAACUGCAGGAUGGACAUUCGCAGGCCCGAGAUGUCUGCAGUGAAUGAGGAAACGGGGACCGGAGACGACUGAAACUACAAAUCCGUAUCCUGCCUGCCAGUUUCAAACGAAGGCAGAGGCCUUGCUGCUUAAAUUCUUAAUUCCUGAAAGGCACACUUGCCCCCUUAUGAAGUGACUCCCGUGUCCCCUCAAAGCUCUUCAGUGGCACCAAUCAAUGUGCUCAAGAGGGUGGAAAUUGUGCUUAUAGAGAACGUGUUUCCAAAUCAACGGGGCUUCUCCCCCUUUCUCUCUUUUGACGUGAGGCUGUAGCUCUGAGCACUCCAUUUAUGCCGAGUAUUCAUCUGACUAGCAGUAGAGGCUAUACGGUUGACCCUGAUUCCUGCUAGCGUGUUAGCGCUUGGCUCAUCUCCCCCACUUUGAACACAGAGUAGGGCUGCUUGCUUGUAUAGGGAAUGGUGCCACUCACAGCAGGCAGGUCUUCCCAGGUCCAUUAUCUUACUCACACCAGGAGGUCCACCUACCUGGUGAGUCUAGAUUCUGUCAAGUCAGCAGUUAACACUAACUCUCACAGGCUAUAAGGGCAUCAGAGAGAUGCAGGGUCUAAAUGGAGUCAGAGGUGGCAGAGGGCACCUCCAUAGCUCCAAGGUAAGCUCACCGGGGAGAGCAUUGAUAUCUUAUUCACCUGCUAGGGUGGAGCUCUCCGGGUAGUGGGCCAGUGUGGAAGAGACCCUGCACAUUUGUAUUCCACAGGGAGUGGAGAAGGGCUUCUGUGCUUUGUCAAGGUAAUUGCUUCAUUUAUUAUUUAAUAAAUUAUAUUAUAUAUUAUAUAUACAUAUAUACAAUAUGUAAUAUUUACUAAAAUUCAGGGUGGGGAAAUCUAGAGACUAAUGAUAAGUUAGGUUCUUUCCAAAAAAUUUUUUUGAAGGUCUGUUUCACGGUGGGUGA
Mesocricetus auratus (golden hamster) is the source of this 1177-nucleotide long non-coding RNA. RefSeq lists it as uncharacterized. NCBI's taxonomy places the organism in Eukaryota, Metazoa, Chordata, Mammalia, Rodentia, Cricetidae. The transcript is spliced from 3 exons. The record is from RefSeq and is a predicted model, not a curated record.